CAGUCGCCGCGGUAAAACGGAGGGGGCUAGCGUUGUUCGGAAUUACUGGGCGUAAAGCGCACGUAGGCGGCUUUGUAAGUUAGAGGUGAAAGCCUGGGGCUCAACUCCAGAAUUGCCUUUAAGACUGCAUCGCUUGAACGUCGGAGAGGUGUGUGGAAUUCCGAGUGUAGAGGUGAAAUUCGUAGAUAUUCGGAAGAACACCAGUGGCGAAGGCGGCUUACUGGCUCAUUCUAGACGCUGAGGUGCGAAAGCGUGGGGAGCAAACAGGAUUAGAUACCCGGGUAGUCCCUGUCUCUUAUAC
RNAcentral lists this ribosomal RNA (301 nucleotides) under uncultured bacterium. RNAcentral describes it as "partial 16S ribosomal RNA". It matches the Rfam family "Bacterial small subunit ribosomal RNA", at positions 509 to 807 of the family's 1533-position model. The record is from RNAcentral.